RNAcentral lists this ribosomal RNA (1475 nucleotides) under Candidatus Pelagibacter sp. Its description in RNAcentral is "bacterial SSU rRNA". It matches the Rfam family "Bacterial small subunit ribosomal RNA". Lineage: Bacteria; Pseudomonadati; Pseudomonadota; Alphaproteobacteria; Candidatus Pelagibacterales; Candidatus Pelagibacteraceae. The record is from RNAcentral.
AAACUUGAGAGUUUGAUCAUGGCUCAGAACGUACGCUGGCGGCACGCCUAACACAUGCAAGUCGAACGAAGUAGCAAUACUUAGUGGCAGACGGGUGAGUAACAUGUAGGUAUCUACCCCAUGGCCUGGAAUAACACGAGGAAACUUGUGCUAAUACCGGAUAAGUCUUUACGGAGAAAGCUUUAUGCACCAUUGGAUGAGCCUGCACUUGAUUAGUUUGUUGGUAGGGUAAUGGCCUACCAAGACUGUGAUCAAUAGCUGAUUUGAGAGGAUGAUCAGCCACAUUGGGACUGAGACACGGCCCAAACUCCUACGGGAGGCAGCAGUGGGGAAUCUUGCACAAUGGAGGAAACUCUGAUGCAGCGAUGCCGCGUGAGUGAAGAAGGCCCUUGGGUUGUAAAGCUCUUUCGUCGGGGAAGAAAAUGACUGUACCCGAAUAAGAAGGUCCGGCUAACUUCGUGCCAGCAGCCGCGGUAAUACGAAGGGACCUAGCGUAGUUCGGAAUUACUGGGCUUAAAGAGUUCGUAGGUGGUUGAAAAAGUUGGUGGUGAAAUCCCAGAGCUUAACUCUGGAACUGCCAUCAAAACUUUUCAGCUAGAGUUUGAUAGAGGAAAGCAGAAUUUCUAGUGUAGAGGUGAAAUUCGUAGAUAUUAGAAAGAAUACCAAUUGCGAAGGCAGCUUUCUGGAUCAUUACUGACACUGAGGAACGAAAGCAUGGGUAGCGAAGAGGAUUAGAUACCCUCGUAGUCCAUGCCGUAAACGAUGUGUGUUAGACGUUGGAAAUUUAUUUUCAGUGUCGCAGCGAAAGCGAUAAACACACCGCCUGGGGAGUACGACCGCAAGGUUAAAACUCAAAUGAAUUGACGGGGACCCGCACAAGUAGUGGAGCAUGUGGUUUAAUUCGAAGAUACGCGCAGAACCUUACCAACACUUGACAUGUUCGUCGCGACUUUAAGAGAUUAAAGUUUUCGGUUCGGCCGGACGAAACACAGGUGCUGCAUGGCUGUCGUCAGCUCGUGUCGUGAGAUGUUGGGUUAAGUCCCGCAACGAGCGCAACCCUUACUUUUAGUUGCCAUCAUUUAGUUGGGCACUCUGAAAGAACUGCCAGUGAUAAGCUGGAGGAAGGUGGGGAUGACGUCAAGUCCUCAUGGCCCUUACGUGUUGGGCUACACACGUGCUACAAUGGUAUCUACAACAGGAAGCAAAACGGCGACGUUAAGCAAAUCCUCAAAAGAUACCUCAGUUCGGAUUGCACUCUGCAACUCGAGUGCAUGAAGCUGGAAUUACUAGUAAUCGUGGAUCAGCGUGCCACGGUGAAUGCGUUCCCGGGUCUUGUACACACCGCCCGUCACACCAUGGGAGUUGGUUCUACCUUAAGGCAAGGUUUAAUACCCUUGACCACGGUAUAGUCAGCGACUGGGGUGAAGUCGUAACAAGGUAGCCGUAGGGGAACCUGCGGCUGGAUUACCUCCUUU